GAUGAACGCUGGCGGCGUGCCUAAUACAUGCGAGUCGAGCGAACAGACGAGGAGCUUGCUCCUCUGACGUUAGCGGCGGACGGGUGAGUAACACGUGGAUAACCUACCUAUAAGACUGGGAUAACUUCGGGAAACCGGAGCUAAUACCGGAUAAUAUAUUGAACCGCAUGGUUCAAUAGUGAAAGACGGUUUUGCUGUCACUUAUAGAUGGAUCCGCGCCGCAUUAGCUAGUUGGUAAGGUAACGGCUUACCAAGGCAACGAUGCGUAGCCGACCUGAGAGGGUGAUCGGCCACACUGGAACUGAGACACGGUCCAGACUCCUACGGGAGGCAGCAGUAGGGAAUCUUCCGCAAUGGGCGAAAGCCUGACGGAGCAACGCCGCGUGAGUGGUGAAGGUCUUCGGAUCGUAAAACUCUGUUAUUAGGGAAGAACAAAUGUGUAAGUAACUAUGCACGUCUUGACGGUACCUAAUCAGAAAGCCACGGCUAACUACGUG
Molecule: ribosomal RNA, 497 nt
Filed under: uncultured bacterium
Lineage: Bacteria
Description: partial 16S ribosomal RNA
Rfam family: Bacterial small subunit ribosomal RNA
Source: RNAcentral